Molecule: ribosomal RNA, 958 nt
Filed under: uncultured Chloroflexota bacterium
Lineage: Bacteria; Bacillati; Chloroflexota
Description: bacterial SSU rRNA
Rfam family: Bacterial small subunit ribosomal RNA
Source: RNAcentral
GAGGCAGCAGCAAGGAAUUUUCGGCAAUGGGCGCAAGCUGACCGAGCAACGCCGCGUGCGGGAUGACGGCCUUCGGGUUGUAAACCGCUUUUCGGGGGGACGAUGAUGACGGUACCCCCGGAACAAGCCCCGGCUAACUCUGUGCCAGCAGCCGCGGUAAGACAGAGGGGGCGAGCGUUUUCCGGAGUCACUGGGCGUAAAGCGCGCGCAGGCGGUCGCCAAAGUGUCGUGUGAAAGCCCCCGGCUCAACCGGGGGAGGCCAUGGCAAACUCGGCGACUGGAGCGGCGGAGAGGCCCCUCGAAUUUCCGGUGUAGCGGUGAAAUUCGUAGAGAUCGGCAGAAGACCAAGGGGGAAGCCAGGGGGCUGGCCGCUGGCUGACGCUGAGGCGCGACAGCGUGGGGGAGCGAACCGGAUUCGAUACCCGGGUAGUCCACGCCGUAAACAAUGACCACUCGGCGUGCGGCGACUAUUGACGUCGCGGUGCGCCUUAGCUCACGCGCUAAGUGGUCCGCCUGGGAACUACGAGCGCAAGCUUAAAACUCAAAGAAUUGACGGGGGCCCGCACAAGCAGCGGAGCGUGUGGUUUAAUUCGAGGCAACCCGAAGAACCUUACCCAGGCUUGACAUGACGGUGCAGACGGCGGAAACGCCGUCGCCUGCGAGGGUCCGUCACAGGUGCUGCAUGGCUGUCGUCAGCUCGUGUCGUGAGAUGUUGGGUUAAGUCCCGCAACGAGCGCAACCCUGCGGUUAGUUAUGCGUGUCUAACCGGACUGCCUUCGGGGAGGAAGGCGGGGAUGACGUCAAGUCCGCAUGGCCCUGACGCCUGGGGCGACACACACGCUACAAUGGCGCCGACAAUGCGUUCGCUCCCGCGCAAGCGGAUGCUAAUCGCCAAACGGCGCCCCAGUGCAGAUCGGGGGCUGCAACUCGCCCCCGUGAAGGCGGAGUUGCUAGUAAC